GAUGAAGAACGUAGCGAAAUGCGAUAAUUAAUGUGAAUUGCAGAAUUCCGUGAAUCAUCGAGUCUUUGAACGCACAUUGCGCCUCAUGGCAUUCCGUGAGGCAUGCCCAUCUCAGCGUUAGAAAAUAUUCUCAAAUUUUAGUUUUGUGCUAAAAUUUGGAUCAUGUCAAGGAAGCUAUUACUAUUAUUGUGAUCGCUCUUUGGAAAUUGAUAGGUCUUUGAGUUGCUACUCAUAGAACGUGAUGAAUCUUUCUUCGUUCUAUUGUAAUUCACUCUGGUAGGCCUAAAACUUGUAUGCCUGUGGCAUAUCUUGUAAUUUGACCUGAGAUUGGGUAGGGAUACCCGCUGAACUUAAGCAUAUCAAUAAGCGGAGGA
RNAcentral lists this unclassified non-coding RNA (374 nucleotides) under soil metagenome. RNAcentral describes it as "partial contains internal transcribed spacer 2 and large subunit ribosomal RNA". The stretch from base 1 to 120 matches the Rfam family "5.8S ribosomal RNA", at positions 35 to 154 of the family's 154-position model. The record is from RNAcentral.